Molecule: ribosomal RNA, 426 nt
Filed under: uncultured bacterium
Lineage: Bacteria
Description: bacterial SSU rRNA
Rfam family: Bacterial small subunit ribosomal RNA
Source: RNAcentral
GGGCCCGCACAAGCGGUGGAGUAUGUGGUUUAAUUCGAUGCAACGCGAAGAACCUUACCAGGGCUUGACAUCCUGCGAACCUCUGUGAAAGCGGAGGGUGCCUUCGGGAACGCAGUGACAGGUGGUGCAUGGCUGUCGUCAGCUCGUGUCGUGAGAUGUUGGGUUAAGUCCCGCAACGAGCGCAACCCACGUCUUUAGUUGCCAGCAUUUAGUUGGGCACUCUAGAGAGACCGCCGGUGAUAAACCGGAGGAAGGUGUGGAUGACGUCAAGUCAUCAUGCCCCUUACAUCCUGGGCUACACACGUGCUACAAUGGGCGGUACAGAGGGCAGCGAAGUCGCGAGGCCAAGCAAAUCCCUUAAAACCGUUCGUAGUCCGGAUUGGAGUCUGCAACUCGACUCCAUGAAGUCGGAAUCGCUAGUAAUCG